Molecule: long non-coding RNA, 201 nt
Filed under: Mytilus galloprovincialis (Mediterranean mussel)
Lineage: Eukaryota; Metazoa; Mollusca; Bivalvia; Mytilida; Mytilidae
Source: RNAcentral
UAUUUUAAAAUUCAAUAUGUACAUAUGCAUAAAAUCUAUGCCAAAAAAUACCAUUUACUCACAAGUGAAUAGAACUUUCACUCUAACUUAGUAUUAAUCUAGAUGUAUAAGACCAGUUUAUAGGAUGUUGUAGAUAAUAAGAUGGUAUUUGAUACCAUUGCUCAAUUACCAGUGCCAAACCUGUAUUUGAUACAUUUGCCC